CUAAUCUUGUACCAUAUCCUCGUAUACAUUUCAUGCUCUCUUCAUAUGCCCCGGUUAUCUCUGCUGAGAAAGCAUAUCAUGAGCAGCUAUCAGUUCCUGAGAUCACAAAUGCAGUAUUUGAGCCCUCAAGUAUGAUGGCCAAGUGUGAUCCAAGGCAUGGGAAAUACAUGGCAUGCUGCUUGAUGUAUCGUGGAGAUGUCGUUCCCAAGGAUGUUAACGCUGCUGUUGCCACCAUCAAAACCAAACGGACUGUUCAAUUUGUUGACUGGUAAGAAAAAUGCAUUAAUUUGGGCAAAUAAUUGGGAAUAGUUAGUGAGGUUGGAUGAAAAAUGCUAAUAUAUGGAAAUGAUGUUCAAGAUUGUUUAGGGCUUGCUGUUGUUAUUCUUUAAAUAUCAGGGACAUUAUUUUCUGGGAGUGCUGAGGGUAUAUGGUGAAUGGUUUUGGACCAAUAUUUUCAUCUAAGAUGUUUUUAUCAAAUAAGACCAAGUCAACUCUGUCAGGUCAUGCUGGCUUCCCCAUGAUGACAUGGACCUGUUUUUGCUGUGAGUGACAGAAUGGGAAGGGGCCAUCAUUUUGUGAUUGCUUAAGUAGAGCUUAGGUGCAUGAUUCUCUUUCUUCUCAGCCUAAGAAAAACACUAGUCCAGUAAUGGGAGAUAUUGUCUUCAUCGGCAUGGGUUGAGACUUAAACGAUAUUUCAAUAAUGUAGGUAACUUAGAGGAAGAGCCUUUGGUUUUAGAACACUUAUGUAUGUAUGUAUGUAAUUGUGUGUUCACCUUCAAUGUUCCAAAAAAGUGAAUGGUUGGUGACUCUUACUUUAUUGCUGUCAACCUGUAGGUUCAGAGAUUUUUCAGAACUUUAUGGAAGUGAUGAUUGGUGUAGGAUUAGGUCCCAAUCAUCACAAUUUGGUUAGAAUUGUGUUCAUACCCUUCAAGCAUGUGUUCUUUUCUCUCAUCAUCUUUUCCCAGUCUGAAAAACUUUCUUAUUUGGGUUUUGUAGGUGCCCAACUGGCUUCAAAUGUGGUAUUAACUAUCAGCCUCCCACAGUGGUACCUGGGGGUGAUCUUGCUAAGGUGCAGCGAGCUGUGUGCAUGAUCAGCAACAACACAGCAGUGGCUGAGGUGUUCUCGCGCAUUGACCAUAAAUUUGAUCUCAUGUAUGCCAAAAGGGCAUUUGUUCACUGGUAUGUUGGUGAAGGCAUGGAGGAAGGAGAGUUCUCAGAAGCUCGUGAAGAUCUGGCUG
This 1238-nucleotide long non-coding RNA is filed under the name Vitis vinifera (wine grape). RNAcentral describes it as "long non-coding RNA (VVIN_LNC001654)". The record is from RNAcentral. Lineage: Eukaryota; Viridiplantae; Streptophyta; Magnoliopsida; Vitales; Vitaceae.